Molecule: long non-coding RNA, 1294 nt
Organism: Pecten maximus
Lineage: Eukaryota; Metazoa; Mollusca; Bivalvia; Pectinida; Pectinidae
Exons: 2
Source: RefSeq, a predicted model, not a curated record
AUCAAAUGCACGUAGUGAGGUCUUUAGUUUCCGCAAACUUCGCCGUCCACUACAGCUCAGCAUAUCGACUCUAUAUCUACAACACCUUGAGAAGAAUGUCCUGGCAAACCUAUGUAGACGGCACUCUCCAAGGGAAAGAUGGUGAGGAUGGCUCAUACAUGGCAGGGAUCUUUGACAUGGAAGGACAGCCUUGGGCUGUUCAUCCCGAAUCGUUUUCAGCUCCCAAAGAAGAUGUCAUGCUAUUAGCUAAAAUUAUUACCGGUGAUGUGGAUAUUGAAAACAUACAAAAAAACGGGUGCACGUUCAAUAAAAUAAAAUUUGCCUACGUUAGAAAAGACGAAUCAAUGGUCUGCCUGCAAAGAAAGAAGGCAAGUGAAGAUGCUAAGCUCUCUCAACAAGAAAGAUGGCCCCUGUGCGCUUUCAAAACGGACCAGUGCAUCAUCAUACGUAUGUCUAAACUCGGCGCCGAUGCCGCAAGAGAAAACUCAGAAAGAGUGGGUUACGUCGGAGAUCACCUCAAUGCAGCUUAUCAAACACACAAGAAAUAGUUUAAAGAUCCAUCUGACAUUUUUGACUUUCCAACAAUAUGCAUAUAUCGUGCAAAUACCUUUUCUGUUGAAUUAUAUCUAUAUAUUAAGACAAACCACAAGUUAUCCUUAUCAUGCCAUCCUGGAACAUAUAUUCAUGUACAUGAAAAAAUGUUGUGUUUUUGCAUCAAAGAAUAACAGUCUAUUGCUUAUUUGACAUAUAGUCAGAUAAUGUAUCAUUUCUUAUUCUACAAUACGUCACUAGAGGAGGCUAAAACAAAGGACUAACAAUGGAGGACAAGAUAAGACAAACAACGGAGGACAAAAUAUGACCAACAAUGGUGGACAAGAGAAGUAAACAAUGGUGGACAAGAGAGGACAAACAAUGGUGGACAAGAGAGGACAAACAAUGGUGGACAAGAGAGGACAAACAAUGGAGGACAAAAUGAAGAAGGAACUUGUCUUACACGUUUGCAUAUAGUAGAUACAUUUGUUCGAUGUGGAACAUCCAUAUGGGAUCAUUGAGUGACCUCAGGUCCGGGACACAAAGGACAUUAAUUACGUUCAAAACACGAACAACAAAAAAUAAACACAGUGGAACAAUAUUCGAUUCAGACUCCGAUUGAGCCAUGUCUCAAGCCUACUCCUCUGUUUGUUUAUGUAUAUAACAAUUUUCACAAAUGCACUUUAUAAUUCUUUACUACAUUGGAGCAAAUUAUUAAUUGUGAUCGUUGACCUAUUUCUGAAUAAAUUCGGUCUUAUUGUUA